Molecule: long non-coding RNA, 212 nt
Organism: Magnolia sinica
Lineage: Eukaryota; Viridiplantae; Streptophyta; Magnoliopsida; Magnoliales; Magnoliaceae
Exons: 2
Source: RefSeq, a predicted model, not a curated record
ACUUAUGUUAUUUGCGUGUUUUUGACUUAGUUAGGGGUCUUUUAGUAAUUUUAUGUCUUUAUUUCGGUCUUUUAGUAAUCUUAUAUCUUUAUUUGCUUAUCCUAGGGGUAUUUUAGUAAUUUUAUGUCUUUAUGUGCUUAUUUAAGUGGGGUAAAGCCCUAAACACGAAUUUCAACUAUUGAUGAAUGAAAAGCAAACCCUUUGGUUGCCUC